RNAcentral lists this long non-coding RNA (437 nucleotides) under Cricetulus griseus (Chinese hamster). Its description in RNAcentral is "lncRNA (ENSCGRG00015034769.1)". Lineage: Eukaryota; Metazoa; Chordata; Mammalia; Rodentia; Cricetidae. The record is from RNAcentral.
CUCUUGCUCUUGCUCUUGCUCUUCCUCCUCCUCUCUGUGGAGCUGCCAUGUGAGCCCUGGAAGACAGGACGCCUUCCACCAGUGUACUCCAUAAGGGGCACUUGCACUUCAUGUUUUCCUGAACACAGCAUGGGAAAAGCCAGUGUAUCUGACAUGCCAGGACCUAAGAACACAGGACUUUCAAUCGGUGUCCAUCACUCUCCAUUGCCUCUGCUGCAAUGUCCUUUCAGCUGGAAUGUCACAGAGGCUCCUUCUGGAAGGUUGUUUACAUGGUAGAUUACAUUAUUGUUUUCCAUACAUUGAACCAUCCCUGCAUCUCUGGAAUGAAACCUACUUGAUCUUUUAAAUGUGUUCUUGGAUCUGGUUGCAUGUAUUUUAUUGAGUAUUUUUGCAUCUAUGUUCAUAAAGGAAACUGGAGGCUGAGAGAACUGUUCUUG